UGGCCCAUCGGGGCCUCGGAUACCUGCUUUUAUUAUU
Panthera tigris altaica (Amur tiger) is the source of this 37-nucleotide unclassified non-coding RNA. The record is from Ensembl. NCBI's taxonomy places the organism in Eukaryota, Metazoa, Chordata, Mammalia, Carnivora, Felidae.